CCUACGGGUGGCAGCAGUGGGGAAUAUUGCACAAUGGGGGAAACCCUGAUGCAGCGACGCCGCGUGAGUGAAGAAGUAUCUCGGUACGUAAAGCUCUAUCAGCAGGGAAGAAAAUGACGGUACCUGACUAAGAAGCCCCGGCUAACUACGUGCCAGAAGCCGCGGUAAUACGUAGGGGGCAAGCGUUAUCCGGAUUUACUGGGUGUAAAGGGAGCGUAGACGGCAGCAGAAGUCUGGAGUGAAAUCCCGGGGCUUAACCCCGGGACUGCUUUGGAAACUGUGCGGCUGGAGUGCAGGAGGGGUAAGCGGAAUGCGUAGUGUAGCGGUGAAAUGCGUAGAUAUUAGGAAGAACACCGGUAGCGAAGGCGGCUUGCUGGACUGUAACUGACGCUGAGGCUCGAAAGCGUGGGGAGCAAACAGGAUUAGAUACCCGAGUAGUC
This 440-nucleotide ribosomal RNA is filed under the name uncultured bacterium. RNAcentral's name for it is "partial 16S ribosomal RNA". It matches the Rfam family "Bacterial small subunit ribosomal RNA", at positions 338 to 795 of the family's 1533-position model. The record is from RNAcentral.